UUAGAGUUUGAUCAUGGCUCAGAACGUACGCUGGCGGCACGCCUAACACAUGCAAGUCGAACGCAGUAGCAAUACUGAGUGGCAAACGGGUGAGUAUAAUGUGGGAAUCUGCCUUUUGGUUUGGAAUAACACGGGGAAACUUGUGCUAAUACCGGAUAAGCCCUUACGGGGAAAGUUUUAGCGCCGAAAGAUGAGCCUGCACUUGAUUAGCUAGUUGGUAAGGUAAAAGCUUACCAAGGCAACGAUCAAUAGCUGUUCUUAGAGGAAGACCAGCCACAUUGGGACUGAGACACGGCCCAGACUCCUACGAGAGGCAGCGGUGGGGAAUCUUGCACAAUGGGGGAAACCCUGAUGCAGCGAUGCCGCGUGAGUGAAGAAGGCCUUUGGGUUGUAAAACUCUUUCGUCGGGGAAGAAAAUGACUGUACCCGAAUAAGAAGGUCCGGCUAACUUCGUGCCAGCAGCCGCGGUAAUACGAAGGGACCUAGCGUAGUUCGGAAUUACUGGGCUUAAAGAGCUCGUAGGUGGUUAAAAAAGUUGAUGGUGAAAUCCCAAGGCUCAACCUUGGAACUGCCAUCAAAACUUUUUAGCUAGAGUGUGAUAGAGGUAAGUGGAAUUUCUAGUGUAGAGGUGAAAUUCGUAGAUAUUAGAAAGAACACCAAAUGCGAAGGCAACUUACUGGGUCACUACUGACACUGAGGAGCGAAAGCAUGGGUAGCGAAGAGGAUUAGAUACCCUCGUAGUCCAUGCCGUAAACGAUGUGUGCUAGACGUUGGAAAUAUAUUUUUCAGUGUCGCAGCGAAAGCAUUAAGCACACCGCCCUGGG
Molecule: ribosomal RNA, 824 nt
Filed under: uncultured Pelagibacterales bacterium
Lineage: Bacteria; Pseudomonadati; Pseudomonadota; Alphaproteobacteria; Candidatus Pelagibacterales
Description: bacterial SSU rRNA
Rfam family: Bacterial small subunit ribosomal RNA
Source: RNAcentral